RNAcentral lists this non-coding RNA (181 nucleotides) under Bacillota bacterium. RNAcentral's name for it is "Firmicutes bacterium (anaerobic digester metagenome) 6S RNA". It matches the Rfam family "6S / SsrS RNA". Rfam says of the family: E. coli 6S RNA was the first non coding RNA to be sequenced, but its function was unknown until recently. It consists of 184 nucleotides that fold into an extended hairpin structure with a large single-stranded internal bulge. Lineage: Bacteria; Bacillati; Bacillota. The record is from RNAcentral.
AAUACCCUACCGUGCGCGUGUCCGGUCGCCUAAGUUUUGAGCUAACACUGUUAUAAUGGGAGCCUGACUUUAUAUGUGGCGUAGAAGCCCUAAAAUAAGGGGACCUACAAAGCAUAUAAGAGGGCGCCCCCCUGUUGGGGGAGAGUUCAAAACAGCGGCUCCACGUCAUGGUGGGGUUUUU